This 239-nucleotide ribosomal RNA is filed under the name uncultured bacterium. Its description in RNAcentral is "partial 16S ribosomal RNA". It matches the Rfam family "Bacterial small subunit ribosomal RNA", at positions 95 to 334 of the family's 1533-position model. The record is from RNAcentral.
CCGGCGCACGGGUGAGUAACACGUAUCCAACCUGCCGUCUACUCUUGGACAGCCUUCUGAAAGGAAGAUUAAUACAAGAUGGCAUCAUGAGUUCACAUGUUCACAUGAUUAAAGGUAUUCCGGUAGACGAUGGGGAGGCGUUCCAUUAGAUAGUAGGCGGGGUAACGGCCCACCUAGUCUUCGAUGGAUAGGGGUUCUGAGAGGAAGGUCCCCCACAUUGGAACUGAGACACGGUCCAA